This 301-nucleotide ribosomal RNA is filed under the name uncultured bacterium. RNAcentral's name for it is "partial 16S ribosomal RNA". It matches the Rfam family "Bacterial small subunit ribosomal RNA", at positions 509 to 807 of the family's 1533-position model. The record is from RNAcentral.
CAGUCGCCACGGUAAUACGUAGGGUGCGAGCGUUAAUCGGAAUUACUGGGCGUAAAGCGUGCGCAGGCGGUUGUGUAAGACAGGUGUGAAAUCCCCGGGCUUAACCUGGGAACUGCGCUUGUGACUGCACAGCUAGAGUAUGGCAGAGGGGGGUGGAAUUCCACGUGUAGCAGUGAAAUGCGUAGAGAUGUGGAGGAACACCGAUGGCGAAGGCAGCCCCCUGGGCCAAUACUGACGCUCAUGCACGAAAGCGUGGGGAGCAAACAGGAUUAGAUACCCCCGUAGUCCCUGUCUCUUAUAC